CCUGGUGGCUCAGAUGGUAAAGAAUCUGCUUGCAAUGCAGGAGACCCAGGUUCAAUCCCUGGGUCAGGA
Molecule: non-coding RNA, 69 nt
Organism: Bos taurus (domestic cattle)
Lineage: Eukaryota; Metazoa; Chordata; Mammalia; Artiodactyla; Bovidae
Source: Rfam